CAAAAUAAAGCAAUAAAAAGCGUAUGUCACCGACCUUUCAAUAAAGUUAUAAGUAAUUUUCAUGUUUUUUUCUUGUUCAUUUUGAAGAAAAGAGUUGUCUUUCUUCAGAACAUUGCAUCUGACGUCAUAGUACAAACUUUCCUUGCUGGCGCACUAUUUGAAAAAAAUCGCAAAUUGGACGUUUGAAACCCACAUUUAAAUUUCCAAGAAUGACAACUAUAUUCACCUA
RNAcentral lists this long non-coding RNA (229 nucleotides) under Mytilus galloprovincialis (Mediterranean mussel). The record is from RNAcentral. Lineage: Eukaryota; Metazoa; Mollusca; Bivalvia; Mytilida; Mytilidae.